CUGCAUCCUCAGUGCACACUCAGGCUUCUCCAUCCUCAGUGCACACUCAGGCUUCUCCAUCCCCAGGUGCACACUCAGGCUUCUCCAUCCUCAGGCGCACACUCUGGUCUCCUCCAUCCUCAGGCGCACACUCAGGCUUCUCCAUCCUCAGUGCACACUCAGGUCUCCCCCAUCCUCAGUCCACACACAGGCUUCUCCAUCCUCAGUGCACACUCAGGUCUCCUGCAUCCUCAGCGCACACUCAGGCUUCUCCAUCCUCAGGCGCUCACUCAGGUCUCCUCCAUCCUCAGGCACACACUCAGGUCUCCUCCAUCCUCAGGUGCACACUCAGGGCUCCUCCAUCCUCAGGCGCACACUCAGGUCUUCUCCAUCCUCAGGUGCACACUCAGGUCUCCCCCAUCCUCAGUCCACACACAGGCUUCUCCAUCCUCAGUGCACACUCAGGGCUCCUCCAUCCUCAGUGCACACUCUGGUCUCCUCCAUUCUCAGUGCACACUCAGGCUUCUCCAUCCUCAGGCACACACUCAGGCUUCUCCAUCCUCAGGUGCACACUCAGGCUUCUCCAUCCUCAGGCACACACUCAGGCUUCUCCAUCCUCAGGUCCACACUCAGGUCUCCUCCAUCCUCAGUGCACACUCAGGGCUCCUCCAUCCUCAGUGCACACUCUGGUCUCCUCCAUUCUCAGGUGCACACUCAGGUCUCCUCCAUCCUCAGGUGCACACUCAGGCUUCUCCAUCCUCAGGGUCACACUCAGGUCUCCUCCAUCCUCAGGCACACACUCAGGUCUCCUCCAUCCUCAGUGCACACUCAGGCAUCUCCAUCCUCACGCACACACUCAGGCUUCUCCAUCCUCAGGGGCACACUCAGGUCUCCUCUAUCCUCAGGCACACACUCAGGGCUCCUGCAUCCUCAGUGCACACUCAGGUCUCCCCCAUCCUCAGGUGCACACUCAGAUCUCCUCCAUCCUCAGGCACACACUCAGGUCUCCUCCAUCCUCAGUGCCCACUCUGGUCUCCUCCAUUCUCAGGUGCACCCUCAGGUCUCCUCCAUCCUCAGUGCACACACAGGCUUCUCCAUCCUCAGGGCACAUUCAGGCUUCUCCAUCCUCAGUGCACACUCAGGUCUCCUGCAUCCUCAGCGCACACUCAGGCUUCUCCAUCCUCAGGCGCACACUCAGGUCUCCUCCAUCCUCAGGUGCACACUCAGGUCUCCCCCAUCCUCAGGUGCACACUCAGGUCUCCUCUAUCCUCAGGCACACACUCAGGUCUCCUGCAUCCUCAGUGCACACUCAGGUCUUCUCCAUCCUCGGUGCAUGCUCAGGUGUCCUCCAUCCUCAGGUGCACACUCAGGUCUUCUCCAUUUUAAGUGCACACACUCAGAUAUUUGUGUCUGUGUUUCCCUGAUGAUCAGUGGUGGUGAACAUCUCUGCAUGCGCUUAUCAGCCACGGGUGAUACCUUAUAUUUUGACGAGGGGUUGAUGGUAGUUAGCCUCAUAGAUGGGCGUUUGAACUUUGUGGUCAAGCAACUCCGCUGCUGUGUUUCUGCACUGAGUGGCUUGUUACUGUCUCCUCGUUACAUAUUGACCAGCUGUCAGUCUGGUGCCUGGAGCUUUGCACCUGUGAGCUCAUCCGAUUCUCA
RNAcentral lists this long non-coding RNA (1638 nucleotides) under Sus scrofa (pig). Its description in RNAcentral is "lncRNA (ENSSSCG00030073355.1)". Lineage: Eukaryota; Metazoa; Chordata; Mammalia; Artiodactyla; Suidae. The record is from RNAcentral.